Molecule: unclassified non-coding RNA, 309 nt
Organism: Gorilla gorilla gorilla (western lowland gorilla)
Lineage: Eukaryota; Metazoa; Chordata; Mammalia; Primates; Hominidae
Gene: 7SK
Rfam family: 7SK RNA
About the family: 7SK was discovered as an abundant small nuclear RNA in the mid-70s but a possible function has only recently been suggested. Two independent studies have found that 7SK RNA binds the CDK9/cyclin T complex (known as elongation factor P-TEFb).
Source: Ensembl
GAAUGUAAAGGCUAUCUGGCUGCGACAUCUGUCACCUCAUUGAUCGCCAGGGUUGACUCGGCUGAUCUGGCUGGCUAGGUAGGUGUCCCCUUUCCCCCUCACCGCAGCUUCAGGAGGGAUGCACCUGGAGCUGUGCUGCCCUGCUAGAACCUCAAAACAAGCUCUCAAGAAAAAAAAAAACAUAAUUCUCAAAAGUAUAACUUUUGUGAACACAUCAGAGAGUAGAUGUUAUAGGACAGCUGGGUAUAAAAUAGAAGGAAUGACAGUUAUUCUCAGGGUGAGCCAGGAUGAACACUGGCUCAGCCCUGG